RNAcentral lists this ribosomal RNA (424 nucleotides) under Bacillota bacterium. RNAcentral's name for it is "Firmicutes bacterium partial 16S ribosomal RNA". It matches the Rfam family "Bacterial small subunit ribosomal RNA", at positions 355 to 776 of the family's 1533-position model. Lineage: Bacteria; Bacillati; Bacillota. The record is from RNAcentral.
UAAGGAAUAUUGGACAAUGGGCGCAAGCCUGAUCCAGCCAUGCCGCGUGAAGGAUUAAGGUCCUCUGGAUUGUAAACUUCUUUUAUAAGGGACGAAAAAAGGGAAUUCUUUCUCACUUGACGGUACCUUAUGAAUAAGCACCGGCUAACUCCGUGCCAGCAGCCGCGGUAAUACGGAGGGUGCAAGCGUUAUCCGGAUUCACUGGGUUUAAAGGGUGCGUAGGCGGGUAUUUAAGUCAGUGGUGAAAUCCUAGAGCUUAACUCUAGAACUGCCAUUGAUACUAUUUAUCUUGAAUAUUGUGGAGUUAAGCGGAAUAUGUCAUGUAGCGGUGAAAUGCUUAGAUAUGACAUAGAACACCUAUUGCGAAGGCAGCUUACUACGCAUAUAUUGACGCUGAGGCACGAAAGCGUGGGGAUCAAACAGG